Molecule: ribosomal RNA, 490 nt
Filed under: uncultured bacterium
Lineage: Bacteria
Description: partial 16S ribosomal RNA
Rfam family: Bacterial small subunit ribosomal RNA
Source: RNAcentral
AGUGAACGCUGGCGGUAGGCCUAACACAUGCAAGUCGAACGGCAGCACAGUAAGAGCUUGCUCUUACGGGUGGCGAGUGGCGGACGGGUGAGGAAUACAUCGGAAUCUACUUUUUCGUGGGGGAUAACGUAGGGAAACUUACGCUAAUACCGCAUACGACCUACGGGUGAAAGCAGGGGAUCUUCGGACCUUGCGCGAUUGAAUGAGCCGAUGUCGGAUUAGCUAGUUGGCGGGGUAAAGGCCCACCAAGGCGACGAUCCGUAGCUGGUCUGAGAGGAUGAUCAGCCACACUGGAACUGAGACACGGUCCAGACUCCUACGGGAGGCAGCAGUGGGGAAUAUUGGACAAUGGGCGCAAGCCUGAUCCAGCCAUACCGCGUGGGGGAAGAAGGCCUUCGGGUUGUAAAGCCCUUUUGUUGGGAAAGAAAAGCAGCAGGUUAAUACCCCGCUGUUCUGACGGUACCCAAAGAAUAAGCACCGGCUAACGUCG